AAGACUACACUUUCAGGGAUCAUUCCUAUAGCAUGCUACUAGAGAAGUUUUUCUAGUGGAGCACCUGAAACCUUGAAGAAUCAGAGCAUCCUCUCCUGAGCAUGAAGGUGGUACUAGGUGUAGCUUCUGCAACUGCCUUUUACCACUGGUAAUCGUUCUUCUCUUUCUUUGGAAGAGGGAGAGGAUGCCAGCUAAGUGG
Molecule: small nucleolar RNA, 199 nt
Filed under: Sorex araneus (European shrew)
Lineage: Eukaryota; Metazoa; Chordata; Mammalia; Eulipotyphla; Soricidae
Description: Small nucleolar RNA U3 (ENSSARG00000015722.1)
Rfam family: Small nucleolar RNA U3
About the family: Small nucleolar RNAs (snoRNAs) are involved in the processing and modification of rRNA in the nucleolus. There are two main classes of snoRNAs: the box C/D class, and the box H/ACA class. U3 snoRNA is a member of the box C/D class.
Source: RNAcentral